Long non-coding RNA from Podarcis raffonei (Aeolian wall lizard), 559 nucleotides. RefSeq lists it as uncharacterized. The record is from RefSeq and is a predicted model, not a curated record. NCBI's taxonomy places the organism in Eukaryota, Metazoa, Chordata, Lepidosauria, Squamata, Lacertidae. The transcript has 3 exons.
AUGGCUGUGCUUGUUAUGGUAUCAGCUACUGAUAAAACUCAGUAUUCACCUCUCUCCAAGGGAAGCAACAUGCUUGGCAUAAACAUUCACUUAAUUGAAAGUGCUGCAGGCAAUAUAGGUCACAGAUGGCUGCACCGAUUAGAGAGAGGAAAACCUUUCCAAUUUCAUUGCACAUGUAUGAUUGGAUCUUGGGCUGAUUUGAACUGGCAUAGAUUCAUGAAGCUACAUUGAUUUGCUCCAGCUGAGGGCUUGAACUGGUCCCUUUGAAACAGGAUGCCUUGGUUGAUGCUCACUUCUCCACUCUUUGCACACUGCUGUGCUUUCUGUCAACCUCACCUCCUAGACUCAGCUGCCAACAUUGCAUAUUAUACACUCCCCGCUGCAAUGCCUUGCCUGCCCUGUCACUAAGGCAAAAUGGAGAAGGUGAAAUUGUUACUGUCAAUGCUAAUAAAGAAGGCAUUCCGCUGAAAAGCCUGAAGUGUGCUUUUUUUUAUUAAAAAAACUUUAAAGACUGAAGUAAAAGCCUUAAGAGGAACAGGGAGGGAGGAGAAAGAAUGAA